AUGAAUCUCCUUUUGAGCAGGAAGGGGAAAAAGUCCGUGGAGGGGAACCCCCAUAGACACGGGCGCUUGAGGGGAAUAAGUGUGUCCGGUCAACUACGCUCCCAAACCUAUAAGGAGAUCACCCACGAGUUCCUUUCCACCUUUGAGGAUAAACUAGAUAUCAGGCAGUGGUGGAAUGUGGGUCAACAGCAGCUGGGUGGCAUCGACGAUGCUGAUUCACAUGGACAGAACCAUCAGCCUCUGCCUAAUGAGUGCAUGUUGUGUUAUUUAUUUUUAUUUCAUUUUCUUAUCAUCUUGUGGGAGUUCGAACAUCAAUUUAUUUGUUUUUCACUAUCGGAGAUGAAACUGAUCCUCAAUUGA
This 360-nucleotide ribosomal RNA is filed under the name Triticum aestivum (bread wheat). RNAcentral's name for it is "partial small subunit ribosomal RNA". Lineage: Eukaryota; Viridiplantae; Streptophyta; Magnoliopsida; Poales; Poaceae. The record is from RNAcentral.